AUUGAACGCUGGCGGAAUGCUUUACACAUGCAAGUCGAACGGCAGCACGGACUUCGGUCUGGUGGCGAGUGGCGAACGGGCGAGUAAUGUAUCGGAACGUGCCCAGUCGUGGGGGAUAACGUAGUGAAAAUUACGCUAAUACCGCAUACGAUCGAUGGAUGAAAGCGGGGGAUCGCAACACCUCGCGCGAUUGGAGGGGCCGUAAUCAGAUUAGGUAGUUGGUGGGGUAAAGGCCCACCAAGGCAACGAUCUGUAGCUGGUCUGAGAGGACGACCAGCCACACUGGAACUGAGACACGGUCCAGACUCCUACGGGAGGCAGCAGUGGGGAAUUUUGGACAAUGGGCGAAAGCCUGAUCCAGCCAUUCCGCGUGCAGGAUGAAGGCCCUCGGGUUGUAAACUGCUUUUGUACAGAACGAAAAGGUUUCUACUAAUACUAGGAGCUCAUGACGGUACUGUAAGAAUAAGCACCGGCUAACUACGUGCCAGCAGCCGCCGUAA
This 500-nucleotide ribosomal RNA is filed under the name uncultured bacterium. RNAcentral's name for it is "partial 16S ribosomal RNA". It matches the Rfam family "Bacterial small subunit ribosomal RNA", at positions 30 to 523 of the family's 1533-position model. The record is from RNAcentral.